CCUACGGGCUGCACCAGUAGGGAAUCUUCGGCAAUGGACGAAAGUCUGACCGAGCAACGCCGCGUGAGUGAAGAAGGUUUUCGGAUCGUAAAACUCUGUUAGUAGAGAAGAACGUUGAUGAGAGUGGAAAGCUCAUCAAGUGACGGUAACUACCCAGAAAGGGACGGCUAACUACGUGCCAGCAGCCGCGAUAAUACGUAGGUCCCGAGCGUUGUCCGGAUUUAUUGGGCGUAAAGCGAGCGCAGGUGGUUUAUUAAGUCUGGUGUAAAAGGCAGUGGCUCAACCAUUGUAUGCAUUGGAAACUGGUAGACUUGAGUGCAGGAGAGGAGAGUGGAAUUCCAUGUGUAGCGGUGAAAUGCGUAGAUAUAUGGAGGAACACCGGUGGCGAAAGCGGCUCUCUGGCCUGUAACUGACACUGAGGCUCGAAAGCGUGGGGAGCAAACAGGAUUAGAUACCCGGGUAGUC
Molecule: ribosomal RNA, 465 nt
Filed under: uncultured bacterium
Lineage: Bacteria
Description: bacterial SSU rRNA
Rfam family: Bacterial small subunit ribosomal RNA
Source: RNAcentral